RNAcentral lists this signal recognition particle RNA (300 nucleotides) under Microcebus murinus (gray mouse lemur). Its description in RNAcentral is "Metazoan signal recognition particle RNA (ENSMICG00000031958.2)". It matches the Rfam family "Metazoan signal recognition particle RNA". From Rfam's summary of the family: The signal recognition particle (SRP) is a universally conserved ribonucleoprotein. It is involved in the co-translational targeting of proteins to membranes. The eukaryotic SRP consists of a 300-nucleotide 7S RNA and six proteins: SRPs 72, 68, 54, 19, 14, and 9. The record is from RNAcentral. Lineage: Eukaryota; Metazoa; Chordata; Mammalia; Primates; Cheirogaleidae.
GCCAGGUGGAGUGGUGCGUGCACCGCUAGUCCCAGUCCUCAGGAGGCUGAGGUGGGAGGAUCACGUGAGCCCAGGAGUUCUGGGCGGUAGUGUGCAAUGCCCAUCAGGUGUCCACACUAAGUCCAGCAUCAGUAUGGCGACCUCCCAGGAAUGGGGGAUCCACCAGGUUGCCUAAGGAGGGGUGAACUGGCCCAGGUAAAAAACACAGCAGGUCAGAACUCCCGUGCUACUCAGUAGUGGGAUCGCCCUGUGCGUAGCCACUGCACUCCAGCCUCGGCUACAUAGUGACAUCCCAUCUCU